GACGCCUCACUCCCUUCCUCAUCCACCUCUCGAGUUCAUUACAGAGCCCCUGCUUCCUCCUCUGCUUCCUCCUCUGCUUCCUCUUCUGACCGUGCUCCCUUACUGGUAUGAGAGAGCCACGUCUGUUAUCAUUGAUCCAGGUCUAUCUAGCUUUCAGGUACAAUUUGAUCAGCCUUUGACAAAUAAUCCGGAGAACAGUCAAGUGCCCAGAAGCCAAUUG
Long non-coding RNA from Quercus lobata, 220 nucleotides. RefSeq lists it as uncharacterized. NCBI's taxonomy places the organism in Eukaryota, Viridiplantae, Streptophyta, Magnoliopsida, Fagales, Fagaceae. The record is from RefSeq and is a predicted model, not a curated record. The transcript has 3 exons.